UUUAUGCAUACAGAAGAAAGAUGACCAGUUUCUAGCUUCAGCAUGAGAUUAGGGUAGCUGUUAGAUGCACGGUCCAUUCUUUCUUCUAUAAAUACGUAUCAGCUCGAACAACCCACCCUCUGGUUUCUGCAAGUGCGUUUUCACAUCUUCAUCUUCAAGAGAAAUUAACUUGUAAACCAAAACAGCAAAAAGAGGGUUUAUGUUUUCAAGAACACGCUAUUGGAAAAGCAGAUGCAGCAGUUAAGUGUUAUUGAAUCCAACAUAUAUAUCUCAAGAACUGUUAUUUUUUUCCCCUUUGGUUAAGAACAGUUUUUUCUCAUGAGCUAGCUAACCCGUCGCAGCCAUACAACCGGAGCUACAUUCCGGUGAACCAGCUCCUCCAGCCUAAUCAGCAUUUCUCCUUCCAAGACCAACCUCCUCUCCAGCUUGUCUAAUAAAUCCGAGGUUAUGGGUACACAUAUUCACUCGAGCGAGACGAUAUAUGUGUAUGUACAUAUAUGCACGUAUAUGGUCCGAUGAUGUCUAUGUUGACCUUUAAGUCCAUGCUUAAACCUAAAUCCAUAUACUCACAUUUCUUUAGUUUCUUCGCACUGAAAUUCAGUCGGGUUAUCGAGUGUUUACGUCA
Long non-coding RNA from Tarenaya hassleriana, 625 nucleotides. RefSeq lists it as uncharacterized. The record is from RefSeq and is a predicted model, not a curated record. The transcript is spliced from 2 exons. Lineage: Eukaryota; Viridiplantae; Streptophyta; Magnoliopsida; Brassicales; Cleomaceae.